GCUUCAUUUGUAUAGUGGCUAGUACGCCUCGUUGUGGCUGAGGAAAACGGUGGUUCGAUUCCACCAUGUAGCA
Zopfochytrium polystomum is the source of this 73-nucleotide non-coding RNA. The record is from the annotation of a GenBank genome assembly. Lineage: Eukaryota; Fungi; Chytridiomycota; Chytridiomycetes; Chytridiales; Chytridiaceae.